This 460-nucleotide ribosomal RNA is filed under the name uncultured bacterium. RNAcentral's name for it is "partial 16S ribosomal RNA". It matches the Rfam family "Bacterial small subunit ribosomal RNA", at positions 338 to 795 of the family's 1533-position model. The record is from RNAcentral.
CCUACGGGUGGCUGCAGUGAGGAAUAUUGGGCAAUGGACGCAAGUCUGAACCAGCCAUGCCGCGUGCAGGAAGACGGCUCUAUGAGUUGUAAACUGCUUUUGUACGAGGGUAAACGCAGAUACGUGUAUCUUUCUGAAAGUAUCGUACGAAUAAGGAUCGGCUAACUCCGUGCCAGCAGCCGCGGUAAUACGGAGGAUUCAAGCGUUGUCCGGAUUUAUUGGGUUUAAAGGGAGCGUAGGCGGUCGGAUAAGUUAGAGGUGAAAUCCCGAGGCUCAACUUCGGCAGUGCCUCUGAUACUGUUCGGCGAGAGAGUAGUUGCGGUAGGCGGAAUGUAUGGUGUAGCGGUGAAAUGCUUAGAGAUCAUACAGAACACCGAUUGCGAAGGCAGCUUACCAAGCUACUUCUGACGUUGAGGCACGAAAGCGUGGGGAGCAAACAGGAUUAGAUACCCGGGUAGUC